Myotis lucifugus (little brown bat) is the source of this 76-nucleotide non-coding RNA. Lineage: Eukaryota; Metazoa; Chordata; Mammalia; Chiroptera; Vespertilionidae. The record is from Rfam.
GAAACACCCUAAUGGGGCAGGACUUACUUCAGUAGGACGUUAGUGCUCACUGAGUCUGCCCCUUGAGUGGGUCACU